CGAGGCUCGUGCGGCGAGGUCUCUCGGCCGCUCGGCACACGCGCUGGCGCACCUUCCCCGGUGCCAGACCGUGACCAUCGAGCGGCCAGGGACCUGGUCGGACGAACCGAGGAGC
This is a non-coding RNA of Mumia flava, 115 nucleotides long. The record is from Rfam. NCBI's taxonomy places the organism in Bacteria, Bacillati, Actinomycetota, Actinomycetes, Propionibacteriales, Nocardioidaceae.